RNAcentral lists this ribosomal RNA (310 nucleotides) under uncultured Amphritea sp. RNAcentral describes it as "bacterial SSU rRNA". It matches the Rfam family "Bacterial small subunit ribosomal RNA", at positions 30 to 334 of the family's 1533-position model. Lineage: Bacteria; Pseudomonadati; Pseudomonadota; Gammaproteobacteria; Oceanospirillales; Oceanospirillaceae. The record is from RNAcentral.
AUUGAACGCUGGCGGCAGGCUUAACACAUGCAAGUCGAGCGGUAACAGAGAGUAGCUUGCUACUUUGCUGACGAGCGGCGGACGGGUGAGUAACGCGUAGAAAUCUGCCUGGUAGUGGGGGAUAGCCCAGAGAAAUUUGGAUUAAUACCGCAUACGCCCUACGGGGGAAAGCAGGGGACCUUCGGGCCUUGCGCUAUCAGAUGAGUCUGCGUCGGAUUAGCUAGUUGGUGGGGUAAUGGCUUACCAAGGCGACGAUCCGUAGCUGGUCUGAGAGGAUGAUCAGCCACACUGGGACUGAGACACGGCCCAG